GUUCGAUUGAGAAUAAAUUCAUAUUCAUGCAUCAUUUAGGAGAACCCCUGAGAUAUGAUGAAAAGAAGAUUCUGAAAAAUUAACAUCUUCUUCAUUGGGAUUUCAGCCAGCAGAACCUGAGUCCAGACGGAACUCCACCAUCCUCAGCUGAGCCGAGACCUCCUUCCCCCCGGAAAGGGGUCGCACCACCACUGUUACACGAGGCGUAUGCUGCCAGCAGACUCCGAUUCACAUCGCAGCCCCACCGAACUGGAGGGUGACACCCAAGCUCUUUGAGCUCUCAUGUUCACAUCUGUCAAGAGACAUAGCACCGUCUAUAUCCCUGAUGUGGGCAGGUCCAAUGAGGAAAUGUAUAUAAAACUACCUAACACCCACCGAAGAGGUCACCUCUGCGGUAUCUUCAGGGUGAAGGGCAACAUGCCUCAGCCAGCAUGAUGCCACUUCUGCUCUUCAAGAGACACCGCUAACCCACAUUCUGGGUUAUUUCUCAAUAUCCUUUUCCAAGUCCUAUGCCUAUCAUUUGCCUGGAAGACCCCAUCCACCUUGACUGCCCUGGCUAAGUCCCACCUGUGCUUAGAAACCUGUUUGAGGUACAAAAGUGCUUCUUUAGGAUGUGGUCCUGGCUCAGCCGUCAGACUGGACUCGGAGCUAUGGAGCCCUUUCUAGAGCCUUCCACAAAGCCAGCCGCUGACGUUUCCUGGCAGGUGAUGGACAUGCCGGUGUUUCAUGAAGGCAGGUAGGAGGGGGAACUGUGUGGCAGGAGGAGGGGCUCCAGGACCAGGGCUGAUGCUGAUGAGGGGACAGCCUUUCUGCUCAUUUCGAAAGAGCCCUGGCGGUGUGGCACCAGUCUGAUCUCUCCCACUGCAAGAUUUUUCUAGAGAUGCACCAUUUUAAAAGUGGGUUAUUUCAUACCAAAAAUAAAACAUAAAAUGGUCAAUGGUCUAGAGCGAGG
This 952-nucleotide long non-coding RNA is filed under the name Sus scrofa (pig). Its description in RNAcentral is "lncRNA (ENSSSCG00060035618.1)". Lineage: Eukaryota; Metazoa; Chordata; Mammalia; Artiodactyla; Suidae. The record is from RNAcentral.